CCGGGCAGGGCACUCUAGGGUUUCUGGCCGCCGCCCCGUCCAGUUAAGGUCGCCGCCCAGUCGUCGGAUCGGAGGUCCACGGGUGAGAAGGGAGUGGAGGAAGAGGGAGGUGCGCCGUAGGGCUUGAGCGCCUACACGGCCGAUGUCCUUGGCGCCGGAUGGCUUGAGCUCCCGGUCUCGGCCGCCGUCCACGGCCGCCUGCCUCUCUGCCUGCCAGCAGCUCCAGGCGGAGCCGUCCUCGAGCGGCAGGUGGUAGGCUGUUAGUGGUGGUUCACCUCACCCCAUCUUUGUUCUCCAGCUGCUGCAACUCCCCGCAUCGUGGGUAAUGCCCGGCGGCGUGGAGGGAUCUUGCGGGUCAGGGCGCAGAGGUAGGAACGACAUGGACAACCACCUGCCUCUCCACCAGCAGCUCCCGGCCGUGGCUUUCACCUGGAAUUGCAACACCUAUUGGUUAUUAAUUUCAGCGUUGUGGACAGGCUUUACCUUCAUCUUACCUUUUGGUUUAUCGAAAUGGAUCCUUUUUUACAUUGUACCAAUGUGCCUUGAUGAUCUGGAUAACCACCCAUAGGACAACAUCUGCAAGAUCUAAUAAGUAAAUACGAACUGCAUAUCAUGAACAAUCUUUCGUUUUAAUUUAUUGCUAGCUGCAUUUUGCCUAUUAGUUUCAAGUCCUGUCACUCUCCUAAAACAACUUAGUCUAUCUCUGCAUAGAUGAAGCUAAAUCCCAUUGUGCACUAUAUAAAUAAUUAGAUGACCUUUCUCAUAUACAUCCACUAUUAGCUGCACUGUGCCAAUCAAGUUCCAUUAUUACUACUAGGGCCAAUUGCUACGACAAAGAGACUAGAUCGCCUUUUAAGCCAACCAGCCCAUAGAUGUUGCGUCGACUGACCAGCCGACAGAUCUUGCGCCGACUGUGGUGCUCCAGAUCCAAAAUGGCUGUAACACUUUUAUAUUUGAGACCGAGUGCUUCACAUUAUUCUCAAUCUUCCAAUGAUGUGGUGUUUGCAAGUCAUUAACGUUUGGUGCGUUCAUUUGUAUCAAGUGUUCUGGGGUUCAUAGAAGCCUCGGGGUGCAUAUUUCCAAGGUAGCCACUAUAUAUUUCGGUUGCUAGCUAUUUGUCGUCAGCGUCAUCUAAUUUUCAGUUUAAUUUCCUACUGUGAAUGAUUCUUUAUUCAGCCAUAAGAGAGCUUCAAUUAGGCAGCCCCUCGGACACUAGGUAGUGUAACUAUGGGACUUACUUCAGAACCUGUAGGGACUAUUUGAUACUAUAUUUUUGUCGUAGCGAUUGCUACUAUCCUUAUGCGACAUAAUGCAUGGAAGGUUGUCAGAUAUUAGGCGAUGUGGAAGCCCUUUUGGCUUGAGCAACAAAAGCACAAAAAAUUUGCCAGUAAAAAGUAAAAGAUAGUACACUGCAGUGGCAUGUUAUUCCUUUACUAUGCAUAUUUUUUUAGAAGCUCUUCUUUACCAUUAAAUGAUCUGAUUAUGGCUUCAAAAAUUACUUUAUUAUUUCAUGCUUAAGAACAUGUAUAUGAAUAAAAGACAAAUAACCGGGCGUUUUGAUUUUCAUUGUAGUAGGAAUAAGAUGGGGUAAGAAUCUGACACUUUACUCAGCAUCGGUUCUAUCCAUUAGUGUUGGUGGUCACUGACUUGGGAUUAUUGUUGCUGACUUAUACGUUUGUUUUCCAUCGAUCACUCGGAAGAUUCGGAAGUUUACAGCAUAAAAAUCGCAGCAUGGCAGCUUUACUGAACUCCCUAGAAAACACCUGUAGUGGUAAUACAUUUCAUUGCUUUGUUUAAUUCAUUGUUUCUUAACAUGUCUACUGUAUUGAUCAAUGAGAACCUCUUUCAUUCUCUUUAUUUCUUGGCAUAAAAUUAGGUGGCUUAUGAUCUUUGUUCGCUUUUAGAUCGCACGUAUAUUUGCUACUUAUUUAUCAGUAACUAUUAUCAGCUUAUUUGAGAUGUAUGUUUGUAAAUAGGUAACUUACUAUGUUAGGACAUGAUUAUCUUAAUUAAAUAUCAACCGCAUAGUGUUCUGGAGAACAAUCCAGAAAUUGGAAACUGAUCCAUAGUUCAAGAGUAGGGUACUUCAAAAUUACAUAUCUGAAUAAGAUUUUCUUAUUAUGGCAACAGUUCAGGGAUUAACUUGUGUCUUCAGUUCUUUAAUAAUAACAUAACGCUUGACACACUUGGCUUUGUUAUAAUAACCUAAUUACCUGAAGCAUGCUCUAUAUGAGUCAUUUACAUUUUGCUUUCGGUUUACUAUAGAUAAACCGAUUACGCUAUAUAUCCAAAGUAAAGUCUCUCUCUAAAAUGGUCUAUAAUUUCUUGGAUGUCACUUUCGAAACACGUAAGACAUAUGGAUAUCGAAUUGUGGAAUCGCAAUGGUAGUCCAUCUGAAAAUUUUCUUUCCUGCAUGUUGCAUUCAAAUGUUGGAGCUCAUGGUGUACUAAACUGUGGAUGCGUUAGAGUCUACAGAUUUUUUCUCUAUAGCUAAUGAUGUUAGCAGGUACCUUAGGAUAUUAGCUACUUUAUUGAUACAGUCAUAGUGGUACUUGAUUUUUGUAAUUGCCUUAAGAAAUCAGAGUUAGUAUAUGUCUUUUGUAUUGAAGCAGAGAAUAAAACAAGAUAACUAAAACCUUGUGUGUUUCUUCUUAGUACUUUGAUAUGAGAAAUGACAAUACAUCAUGAGUCUUUUUCUUACCACUUCACAGUUGUUCCAUGUUCUGAAUUAAAUAUAAUUCACGAGGCUGCAUGCAAAAAUGUGUGGAGUAGCACGUCCUAUAAUUUUAGCUUCCAAUAGUUUUCCCUUUUGGCAAUACCAGAUCAGUCAGACCAACUCCUAUAUAUAGGAAACAUUAUAAGUGAUCUAAAAAAAAGGAAAGAUUAUAAGAACCUUUUUUUAACCCAAAAAUCCAUAUUAGCUAUUAUCUCGGAAUUGCUCAUUGUAUUCAAUUUGCUAUAGAUACGUCGAAUAUUAUGAUUUUCCCUUAUUUCUCUAACGCUUUUCAAAAUAAUACGAGACUGCUUAGUAUCUCAAUUCUCAUAUAUUUGCAAUAUAAACUUAAUGAAGAUAAUAUUCACCGUUUUGCACAUUCUUACCCAUGUAAAAGUUCUAAUUAACAUAUUGCCCACCCAUUUUCCCACAAGCUUCUCCUUUUUCCUUACUCCUAUUUUAUGUCAUUGAUACAACAUUUCAGAAUUUCUUUUAGCCGGGAAGUAAAUCAGAACUAGAUUGGUAAGCAACAGAUGAUGCUGAACAAACUAUCAAAUAAUCAUAUCUUGCACAUAAAGGGAGUUUUCAAUGUUGUCAUGUUCUCUUUAUAUUAUACGAUAUUCCAAAAGAUAAUAAUAGUAACAUUGUUUGUUGUUUCUCCAAAAACUAACUAUAUAGAUUCCUGAAUAGUAUUAUCUGAUAUUUACGCACUUCCAUCUUUUGAUUUAAAUGGAAUAAAGGAAAAUUUACAGGAUGAUCAUGUUCUAUUUUAUAUCCUGGUGUGUUUUUCUUCAAAGAAAAUGCAGAAUGAUUUGUCGCUUUGAAUCUGUUCUUAUAUCUAACAAUGUUAACAAUGGCUGAUGAAGUCUACAUUCAGGUUUCCUUGGCAAGAUUGUGCUUUCAAAUAGUUUGAUUCGUUUUCUUCAGGGAUGGCUGCUUGCUAAAUUCAUCAGUAUGUGCAUGCAUAGAGAUGAUCUUGGUUGGUCUAAUAAUUAUUCCGCUCAACAAAAUUCAUUAGGAUUCAAAUCCUCCAAGAAUCCUAUGAAAACCCUACAAUCCAAAAAGGCCCUUAGGGCAUACUAUCGUAAGUGUACUCCACAAUCAUUGCAUAUUAUGACCGAUUAUUUAUUUCUUGAUCUUUUACUUUGCCAUCUAUGCAUGGCAUAAGUUCGGCUAAGUAUCAGUCUAUGUAUAAUUACCAUAGAUGGUUCAUUGGUUGUUGUAUUCAGUUCUUAGUAUGCUGAUCCAAAGUGACCACACUCUUCCUACAAGAAGUAUGCAUAUGGAUGGAAAUUUCCAGCACUUUGGAGUAUUUUGACUGAAAAAUUAUAGGCAAUUCAUGGAUGUAUAUGUGUUAUUGUCUGUUUAAAUGUGAAGACACACAAUCUCCAUAUGUGAAUAGUCUACAUACUGAUGAACCAUGUAUCCUUAGAUCAACUUGAGAGCAAUAUUUGUAUUUCCCCCCAGAAAAAAGGCAGCUAGAUAAAGAUUGGUUGGCUGAGCACAUAAAUUCAGUGUUGGUUUGGACUUUGCAUGUUAGUGUUCUAUUUCUCAUGGGUUGUUGAAGAGGCAGAUUUUAGGACUUCAGAAGCCUGCCACAGUUGCAGCUGGAGAGCAAGCCAACGAGCAGUUGUUGUUGGAGAAGAAGGUAGUGGCCGAUGGCUGCUGCUGGAGGGGAACAUGGCCAUGGAUUCUUGCUUCAACAACCUGAUUCGUCUAUUCCUUUGGGCACCUUCCCCAAUCCCCUUGGCAGCUCGAUCUCACCAGUUGGAGUGUUCCUUUGGCCUGUGAUUUUCUGAACAUUUUGGUUAUGAAUCUCAGAAUGUCAGUAUUGUUCCAAUGGAACAGGACGAGGAUAUGAUGAAGUCAGGGCCAAAAUCUUGCAUGUUUCUGGCCUUAUUUUGUCCUCCUGAUGAUGCAUCAUUUAGGCACAAAGGUGGGUGGUCAGUAUAAAAAAAACACACCUAUACAGGCUGUUUUGAACUGUUAAUGUCAUUUAAGUGGAAAAUGGCAUAUUCCCAAGAUUUCUUUAUGUAAUGGCAUAUUUCCAAGAGUCCUUUAUGUAAUGGCAUGAUUUCAGUUGCCAAUA
Long non-coding RNA from Lolium rigidum, 4802 nucleotides. RefSeq lists it as uncharacterized. Lineage: Eukaryota; Viridiplantae; Streptophyta; Magnoliopsida; Poales; Poaceae. The record is from RefSeq and is a predicted model, not a curated record. The transcript is spliced from 2 exons.